Molecule: long non-coding RNA, 919 nt
Filed under: Physcomitrium patens
Lineage: Eukaryota; Viridiplantae; Streptophyta; Bryopsida; Funariales; Funariaceae
Description: long non-coding RNA (PPAT_LNC003012)
Source: RNAcentral
UUUAGCCUUUGGGUUUGAGGCCAUCAUAUCGAUAGAACUAGAAAUUUUGUCCAUGCGCACAACACUAGCACACAGGUUGGAGAUUAAGAUAAUCUCAAAGCAAGGCUAUUGAUGUUGGAAAGGCUUGAAGAAGGGUGGCAACUAGCAUUGCUCUCGAAUCACACAGCUCAACAAAGAAAGAAACUCAUGUACAAUGCAAAGUCUAAAAUCAUAGAGUUUCAAGUCCAGGACUUGGUCCUCUAGAUUGACAGUUGGAUGAUGAAGCAGAGGGGGCAAAAGUUUCAGCCUCGUUGGAAUGGGUCAUUUCAGGUAUACAAGAAAUAUGACAAUGGGACUUACAGGCUUGCAUCUUUAGAUGAGCAGAAUGUUGAUCGACAUGUCAAUGGAUCGAAACUCAAGAUGUAUGACUUUGCUCUGCACUGGUCGUGGGUCUCCAACUCAUGACCUAUGCAUCUGGAGGUGAUGUUCUGAGUAGAAAUUUUCCACCUCGUCAGCAAUGAGGGUCAUUCGAAUUAAUCAUGCAACGGUGAGUUUGGGGCAACCUAACCAACUUGCAGUGAUCCGAUUCUGAAGACUACUACUCGAUCCCCGACAUGAGGCAUGAUUCUCAAGGUAAGGGAGGAGUGGAGCUUAGGGGAUGACUCACCAGCUCGGGUGAUGAGUGAUCUAUUAGCUUGCUAGUGCCUACGGGUAUGAAUCAGACAGGAGGCCAUGUAUUUGCUAGUGAGAGCCGCGGAAUUCAUGCGAACAUGUGACCUUUGUAUCACCUUCGUUUAAUAAAGUUUAGCUUUCUGUUAUCAGCCAUGACGAAUCUGUUUAGUAGAGUAUGAUUCUCGUGAGUCAUGGGUGUCAGUCUGGUAUGUUGGAUCAAAGCCAGAAGCAGGAGGGAUGAGGCCGAGAGAAGAGGGGAUUGUCGGAG